RNAcentral lists this ribosomal RNA (516 nucleotides) under Virgibacillus marismortui. RNAcentral describes it as "bacterial SSU rRNA". It matches the Rfam family "Bacterial small subunit ribosomal RNA", at positions 1 to 493 of the family's 1533-position model. The record is from RNAcentral. Lineage: Bacteria; Bacillati; Bacillota; Bacilli; Caryophanales; Bacillaceae.
UUUGAAAAACUUGAUCCUGGCUCAGGACGAACGCGGGCGGCGUGCCUAAUACAUGCAAAGUCGAGCGCGGGAAGCAGGCAGAUCCUGUUUCGGAGGUGACGCCUGUGGAACGAGCGGCGGACGGGUGAGUAACACGUGGGCAACCUGCCUGUAAGAUUGGGAUAACCCCGGGAAACCGGGGCUAAUACCGGAUAAUACUUUUCGUUGCAUAACGAGAAGUUGAAAGGCGGCUUUUAGCUGUCACUUACAGAUGGGCCCGCGGCGCAUUAGCUAGUUGGUAAGGUAACGGCUUACCAAGGCGACGAUGGGUAGCCGACAUGAGAGGGUGAUCGGCCACACUGGGACUGAGACACGGCCCAGACUCCUACGGGAGGCAGCAGUAGGGAAUCUUCCGCAAUGGACGAAAGUCUGACGGAGCAACGCCGCGUGAGUGAUGAAGGUUUUCGGAUCGUAAAACUCUGUUGUCAGGGAAGAACAAGUGCCGUUCAAAUAGGGCGGCACCUGACGGUACCUACC